Olea europaea var. sylvestris is the source of this 1512-nucleotide long non-coding RNA. RefSeq lists it as uncharacterized. The transcript has 2 exons. Lineage: Eukaryota; Viridiplantae; Streptophyta; Magnoliopsida; Lamiales; Oleaceae. The record is from RefSeq and is a predicted model, not a curated record.
UAAACAGACAUCAACACACAGUUUUGCCCUAUAAAUAGAGAAGUUGGAGAAACCCUCAAAUCACACAAACUCAUGUUCUCAUUAGUGCCUUCUCUAGUCUCCCUGUUCGUCACUUUUCUACCCUACAGUCCUACAAGUCCCCAACUUGUUUAGGAUUUUCUUGAAAUUAAGAUGACAGGAUGAAGUGAUAUUGGUGAUGAGUUGACAGAAGAUAGAGAGCACAGAUGAUGGGAAUACAAUAACUUCCUAUGUAUCUCAAUCUUUGUGCUCUCUAGUCUUCUGUCAUCACCUUCUGCCCUCACCCUGUUGUUUUAAUUUUCUUGACUUUUUUCUUCUAAACUAUUCACUGUCAAAACCGUUAUCUUGGCCAGAUAAAAGGUGUAAAGGCUUGACCAGGGUAUGUACAACGGGUGGCGGCGGGACUUGAAUGUAGAUUUUUAUUUCGUUUGAUACCACAUAGAACUAACUUUUCUGAAAGCCAGAUGAGAUGGUUCAAGGUCAACUUGGUAUUUGGUUCCCCUCUCUUGCCAGCGAUUACAGUGAGCUCAUAUACAUAUUUUAAGAGUGGAAGGCAGUGAGAGUGUUGUUGACAGAAGAUAGAGAGCACAGAUGAUGAAGUGCUUGAAAUUGGCCCGCAUCUCACUCCUUUGUGCUCUCUAUUCUUCUGUCAUCACCCUCCACCCAUCUUCCAUAAUGCAUUUUGCACUGUUUUUGUUCAAAUUCAUGAUAAUUCCUCAAGCCAAAUAGAAUGUUAUCUUAGCUUGUUUCUGGAGUUGAAAUUCAUAGAUUAAUUUUAUUAGCUAUUCCGGGACAGAAAAGAAAAAGAAAAAAACCACUUGUUAUCUUUUGCAUCAACUUGAUUAUUAUUCUCUCUCCCUUCUUAUCCUAUACUCCAGCGAGUCCCUCACUUCCAGAUUGAGUUGGAGAGUAAUUUUUUGGCAUAUCUAGUUAGGACUUUAUUUAUAUGUCCUUAUCUUCUUUCUACUAGCUAGUAGACAACCUGGCUUGUCCCAAUUAAGUUAUGUUUGCAAAUUGCAGCCAAACAUAUGGAAUCCCUUGCACAUAUCUUUGCUAUGUUCAAUUGGGCACUGGUAAUUGAGAUUGAAGAAUAGAAUGAGAGAAAACAAAGAGAUGGGAACCCUCACAAAUGGCUCACACACAAACUGUGUGAAGAAAAUGGAGAAGUGUGCCUUUUAUACGCCACCACAAAACCACAGAUUCAACGUUCGAUAUUCAGCCACGUGCAAGCCAAAUUGCACCAAAAUACAAUUCAAAAGUCACAUUUCAAGAAAUGCACCUUUUUAAAAUAAUAGUCAAAGGUCCAAGUCCAAGUCCAAGUCAAUUUCAACAUGUAUGUUUCGAAGAGUUGUGUUGAGUUUUCGAUAUUGUAUUAAUGAGGAGAAAAUUUAGGCGUAACUCUUGUAUGUUGUAAAGAGAUGUAAGACUUGCAGUCUACAACUUGAGGAUUACUGUGUUUGUUGAACUGCUAAAUCCUUGAAUCAAAUGUUUCUA